This 200-nucleotide ribosomal RNA is filed under the name uncultured bacterium. RNAcentral describes it as "partial 16S ribosomal RNA". It matches the Rfam family "Bacterial small subunit ribosomal RNA", at positions 8 to 234 of the family's 1533-position model. The record is from RNAcentral.
AGAGUUUGAUCCUGGCUCAGAGCGAACGCUGGCGGCAUGCUUAACACAUGCAAGUCGCACGGGCAGGCAACUGUCAGUGGCGGACGGGUGAGGAACGCGUAGGGAUCUAUCCUUGGGUGGGGGACAACCGUGGGAAACUACGGCUAAUACCGCAUGAUGUCUGAGGACCAAAGGCGCGAGUCGCCUGAGGAGGAGCCUGC